AAAUUUAACCAAUAAUCACUGAACUUUACACUUGAUUACUACUUGCUCACUCAUCUUUCACAUAUUACUGAAUGCUCACUCAUCUUUUCAUAUAAUUACUCAUUCAUCACUCGUCUCUUCAAAUAAUUGGGCGACUUUUACGGCAAAUUUUCGACAACUUCCGACCACAAAGAAUGUCGAAUUUUGAUACCAUUGGAAAGCACACGAUGUCCUCUUCAAUUACCACCAAAAAUCUCAUUAUAACUCCAAGGGAUUUGAUCGAAAAAUUGCCUUAAAAGUCGCCCAAAAAUUCUGAAAAUCUGCCCAGAUUUUCAGAUUUUUUGGGCGACUUUUAAGGCAAUUUUUCGGCAACUUUCGACCAUCAAAACUAUCAAAUUUUGAUACCAUUGGAAAGCCCACAAUGUCCUCUUCAAUUACCAUCCAAAAUUUCCCCAUAAAUCCAAAGGAUUUGGUUGGAAUAAACCCACAAAAUCAGCAUCUUGAAAAGGCGAAAAU
RNAcentral lists this long non-coding RNA (495 nucleotides) under Olea europaea subsp. europaea. The record is from RNAcentral. Lineage: Eukaryota; Viridiplantae; Streptophyta; Magnoliopsida; Lamiales; Oleaceae.